Molecule: ribosomal RNA, 571 nt
Filed under: uncultured bacterium
Lineage: Bacteria
Description: bacterial SSU rRNA
Rfam family: Bacterial small subunit ribosomal RNA
Source: RNAcentral
GUAUCCAACCUGCCCACCACUCGGGGAUAACCUUGCGAAAGUAAGAACUUAAUACCCAGGUGACUCUCUCUAUGAACACAUCGAGAAUCGGAUUAGAGAAUUAUUCCGGUGAUGAGAAGGGCGAUGCGUCUCGAUUAGCUUGUUGGCGGGGUAACGGCCCACCAAGGCAACGAUCGGUAGGGGUUCUGAGAGGAAAGUCCCCCACAUUUGGAACUGAGACACGGUCCCAACUCCUACCGGAGGCAGCAGUGAAGAAUAUUGGUCAAUGGGCGAGAGCCUGAACCAGCCAAGUAGCGUGAAGGAUGACUGCCCUAUGGGUUGGAAACUUCUUUUAUAAAGGAAUAAAGUCGAGUAUGGAUACCCUUUUGCAUGUACUUUAUGAUAAAGAUCGGCUAACUCCGUGCCAGCAGCCGCGGUAAUACGGAAGAUCCGAGCGUUAUCCGGAUUUAUUGGGUUUAAAGGGAGCGCAGAUGGAUGUUUAAGUCAGUUGUGAAAUCUUGCGGCUCAACCGUGCAAUUGCAGUUGAUACUGCAUAUCUUGAGUGCACAUGAGGCAGGCGGAAUUCAUGGUG